RNAcentral lists this ribosomal RNA (380 nucleotides) under Betta simplex. Its description in RNAcentral is "partial 12S ribosomal RNA". It matches the Rfam family "Bacterial small subunit ribosomal RNA", at positions 803 to 1384 of the family's 1533-position model. The record is from RNAcentral. Lineage: Eukaryota; Metazoa; Chordata; Actinopteri; Anabantiformes; Osphronemidae.
UAAACAUUGAUACAUUAUUACAUCUAUCAAUCCGCCCGGGUACUACAAGCACUAGCUUAAAACCCAAAGGACUUGGCGGUGCUUAAGAUCCCCCUAGAGGAGCCUGUUCUAGAACCGAUAAUCCACGUUUAACCUCACCCUUUCUUGUUUCUCCCGCCUAUAUACCGCCGUCGUCAGCUUACCCUGUGAAGGUCCAAUAGUGAGCAAAAAUGGCACAGCCCAAAACGUCAGGUCGAGGUGUAGCGCAUGAAAGGGAAAGAAAUGGGCUACAUUCUCUAAAAUAGAAGCACACGGACAAUAUAUUGAAACAUAUAUUUUAAGGAGGAUUUAGCAGUAAGUAGAAAUUAGAAUAUUCCACUGAACUCGGCUCUAAAGCGCGC